This 377-nucleotide ribosomal RNA is filed under the name Strombidiidae sp. RNAcentral describes it as "partial small subunit ribosomal RNA". It matches the Rfam family "Eukaryotic small subunit ribosomal RNA", at positions 582 to 975 of the family's 1831-position model. Lineage: Eukaryota; Ciliophora; Spirotrichea; Strombidiidae. The record is from RNAcentral.
AUUCCAGCUCCAAUAGCGUAUAUUAAAGUUGUUGCAGUUAAAAAGCUCGUAGUUGGAUUUCUGAUAGGGAGCCGAUCACCACUGUUGUGAGUGUUAGGCACCUGUCAUCCUUCUGUUAACCCCUGCGGCAUUCAUUUGUCGUUGGGCGGACCAGAUACUUUACCUUGAGAAAAUUAGAGUGUUUCAGGCAGGCCUAGCCGGAAUACAUUAGCAUGGAAUAAUGGAAUAGGACUAUAGUCUCGUCGUUGGUUACGUGGACUGCAGUAAUGAUUAAUAGGGAUAGUUGGGGGCAUUAGUAUUUAUUAGCUAGAGGUGGAAUUCUCUAAUUUGAUAAAGACUAACUUAUGCGAAAGCAUUUGCCAAGGAUGUUUUCAUUA